Long non-coding RNA from Rana temporaria (common frog), 925 nucleotides. RefSeq lists it as uncharacterized. NCBI's taxonomy places the organism in Eukaryota, Metazoa, Chordata, Amphibia, Anura, Ranidae. The transcript has 2 exons. The record is from RefSeq and is a predicted model, not a curated record.
AAAGUUUUGCAGCUCUCUGCAGCGCGAGCGGUUUACAGAGCUGUUUGUUUUUUUCUUAGCUGGUUGUUGUAAUCUUAUUUUCGGCAGAGCCGGCGGUUUUCUGUCGCCGUGCGCUGCUAUCGUGUGACUCGCCUACUGAGUUCCGAUCUGAGUGUAAAGCCAAGCAUCUCACCGUGUGCCCGCCACAUUGUAUCUUCUCCUCCUCAGGUAGAGAUCCCGCGCUUCACCGGAACAAAAAAAAAAAAAUCGAUCGGACGCAAGUCAUAUGACCUCGCACUGCGCUCUUUUUACAAGACCAGGAGACUGUUUUUUAUUUUUUUUGACAUGGUUGAACUAUGAGGACUGAUGACACCAUGGGGCUGAGAGCGUCCUGUUUAAAAGGUCUUCAGAUCGGUCACAAAGGUGAAGAGACGUCCUCUGGACACCUGAAGGUCCCGGAUAUAAUCAUCACCCCUCCCACCCCGACCGGCACCAUGAACUCCAGGACCUCCACGCAGCGGGCGCGGCCCGCUUCCCCCGCCAUGAACUGCUGCUGAUCUCACAACUACAAUCAUGAUGUGUGACAACCAUGGGAAAGGCGACAGUUCAGAUCUGAUAUCACAGGCUGAUUGGUUGCUAAGGGCAACAAGAAAUCAAACUUUUUAAAAAAAAAAAUCCUACAUGACUGACAAGGAAGGAAGAACACUAAGAAGUCAGAACUGUCUUCAGAGGUCAGCACACCGCAAGGGAAGACGGAUGUCAUACAAACUCGGGGCGCUUCCCCUUUAAGUGACAGUCUUAGAUGUCACUUUAUCACAGAGUGGAAGGAUUCCGGGAUCUGAAAUGUGACAAGAUUCCCAAAUGUCACUUCCCUAUGAUAAAAAUAUCUGAACUGGGGGGGAGGGGGAUGGAAUGCAACAAAAUAAAACGUGAGACAUCAAAUAUA